GGGGGCUCUGAAAAUAUUUAGGAGCCGUAUUCAGAUUUAAUAUUUCACUGAUAUGAUCUAGUUUGCAGCAGUACAAAUACAUGCCAAUAUAUUUAAUACUUUUGUCUUUAUAAACCAUAAUUUGGUUACUUCUAGCUUUCAGUAGGGUAUGGUAGGGGGGCUUUGAAAAUUUUGGGAUUCUGAAAAGUGGGGCACCGAAAAAAAUGUUUACAAUGAAAGGGAGGCUCUUUGUAGGGUGUCUUGAGUAAAAAUGUCCCCCCCCCCUUCGGUGUAUUUAAUAAGCUAGAUUCUGAUAAUAAACCACGAAAUGUGCCGUGUUAGCGACGCGCUCUCCGUGUUUGAUUAGAAAACCGGUCAAGUUACGUUGCGUAAUCUGAGCUACUACCCCGGGGCACGAGCUGUCCCCGACGCAGCCGAAAUGUGCCCGACUAAUCAAGAUUCAAGCAAAUACUGUGAACAUAAAAGGGAAAAAUGUGUUAAAGUUCACGAUCACGGGAGCACUAGAAAAAUACUCCCUGAAACUGCGAUCACGAUCCAAAUUUUCUGGGGAGAAUUCCCUCGAGGGCCGAAAUAAGAUGCGCGGGGUGGCCCCGUGGAUUAUGACUGAAGGGGUAACUAGAACGACUACGGGCAAGCUGUAGAAAAACUAGAUGGUCUGCGUAGGCGUGGUGUAGACAAGGAAACCAUGCUUCGCAGAAAACCAAAAGGCGCCACGGGAGUGUAGCACAAGAAACAGAUAUAGAAAAACUUCAAUGGAUUGGCUUAACGAUAAAAAUAUACAUAUAAAUAUAGAUAUUAAAAUUUGAAUUCAA
This is a long non-coding RNA of Nematostella vectensis (starlet sea anemone), 812 nucleotides long. RefSeq lists it as uncharacterized. The record is from RefSeq and is a predicted model, not a curated record. NCBI's taxonomy places the organism in Eukaryota, Metazoa, Cnidaria, Anthozoa, Actiniaria, Edwardsiidae. The transcript is spliced from 2 exons.